AACUGGGCUGAAUAUCCCGUGAACAUAUUUGCAGGCAGUGGCGGCGGUAGUUUCGGCAGUCCUGGAUCUGGAGGUGGCGCUGGUGGUUUUGGCCUUGGUAGUGGCUACGGCAGUGGCGGCAGUGGAUUCGGCUUGGGCAGUAGUUCACUAGGCGCCGCCUACGGUAGUGGCGAUUCACUUUCUGGUUUUGGUAGUGGUAGUCCCAGCUCCAGCACCAGUGGCUACGGCUUGGGUGGUGGCCUCGGAAGUGGCUUCGGAAAUGGGGCCGGUAGUAGCCUAGGAGGUGGCCUCGGCGGUGGUCUUGGAGGUGGCCUCGGUGGUGGUCUCGGCAGUGGUCUUGGAGGCGGCCUCGGAGGUGGUCUCGGCAGUGGCUACGGAGGCGGCCCUGGUGGUGGCCUCGGUUUCGGAAGCAGUGGCUCCAGCGGACAAGGGCUUGGCUUUGGUAGAC
This is a long non-coding RNA of Rhipicephalus sanguineus (brown dog tick), 448 nucleotides long. RefSeq lists it as uncharacterized. The record is from RefSeq and is a predicted model, not a curated record. The transcript has 2 exons. Lineage: Eukaryota; Metazoa; Arthropoda; Arachnida; Ixodida; Ixodidae.